RNAcentral lists this ribosomal RNA (465 nucleotides) under Vreelandella stevensii. RNAcentral's name for it is "partial 16S ribosomal RNA". It matches the Rfam family "Bacterial small subunit ribosomal RNA", at positions 338 to 795 of the family's 1533-position model. The record is from RNAcentral. Lineage: Bacteria; Pseudomonadati; Pseudomonadota; Gammaproteobacteria; Oceanospirillales; Halomonadaceae.
CCUACGGGUGGCAGCAGUGGGGAAUAUUGGACAAUGGGCGAAAGCCUGAUCCAGCCAUGCCGCGUGUGUGAAGAAGGCCUUCGGGUUGUAAAGCACUUUCAGUGGGGAAGAAAGCCUUGGGGCUAAUACCCUCGAGGAAGGACAUCACCCACAGAAGAAGCACCGGCUAACUCCGUGCCAGCAGCCGCGGUAAUACGGAGGGUGCAAGCGUUAAUCGGAAUUACUGGGCGUAAAGCGCGCGUAGGCGGUCUGAUAAGCCGGUUGUGAAAGCCCCGGGCUCAACCUGGGAACGGCAUCCGGAACUGUCAGGCUAGAGUGCAGGAGAGGAAGGUAGAAUUCCCGGUGUAGCGGUGAAAUGCGUAGAGAUCGGGAGGAAUACCAGUGGCGAAGGCGGCCUUCUGGACUGACACUGACGCUGAGGUGCGAAAGCGUGGGUAGCAAACAGGAUUAGAUACCCCUGUAGUC